CAAUAGCGUAUAUUAAAGUUGUUGCGGUUAAAAAGCUCGUAGUUGGAUUUCUGCUGAGGACGAUCGGUCCGCCCACUGGGUGAGUAUCUGGCUCGGCCUGGGCAUCUUCUUGGAGAACGUAGCUGCACUUGACUGUGUGGUGCGGUGUCCAGGACUUUUACUUUGAGGAAAUUAGAGUGUUUCAAGCAGGCACACGCCUUGAAUACAUUAGCAUGGAAUAAUAAGAUAGGACCUCGGUUCUAUUUUGUUGGUUUCUAGAGCUGAGGUAAUGAUUAAUAGGGAUAGUUGGGGGCAUUCGUAUUUAACUGUCAGAGGUGAAAUUCUUGGAUUUGUUAAGGACGGACUACUGCGAAAGCAUUUGCCAAGGAUGUUUUCAUUGA
This 380-nucleotide ribosomal RNA is filed under the name uncultured eukaryote. Its description in RNAcentral is "partial 18S ribosomal RNA". It matches the Rfam family "Eukaryotic small subunit ribosomal RNA", at positions 592 to 976 of the family's 1831-position model. The record is from RNAcentral.